GGAGGGAAUAUGCUGAUAAUUUAACUGCUCAGAGGAAGGGAACUAAGAUCUUAGCAUAGACUUUGUUAUGCCUGUGCCUACAUUUUGAAGCAAUAAAAGACUUUUAGGGAAAUCAAUGCCUGGAAGUUCUUUGAAGUGUUUCAUUAGCCGGAACCAUAACACUGAGUUGGGCGACGAUGAGGAACAGCUGGGGCCAAUCCUGGAUGUGCAGAUGCAGAGAGAGCCGAGGAGAGGAAGACAGAGGAAGGCAAUGGGGUGGCUCCAUAGGCAAAGUAAAAGUCACUAAGAAGCUACACCCUGGCUGGAUUAUAGAGGCGUGGGAGGUGCUGGUUGACGAAGGCAACGGUUCACGGUGCGGCUUUUUUUUUGUUGAUUUGUUUGCUUCUGAAGUGGUCUGCCUCCAAAGUCUUGGACAUUGAGUCAGCGGAAACACCCCAGGAUGCACAAAGCCCUGGAAGAGAGAAAAAAAGGAAGAAUGAAAAGAUUUAAACUCCUGGAGACAGCUGUUCCUUUCUGUCCAUGGCUACUCCCCCCUCCUCCUCUGUGAAAUAUCCCCCUCCUCUGAGAAAUUGGCCACAAAAUGGGGAAAGUUCCCCAGAGCCCAGCAGCCCAACUUACAUCUUUGGAGCCGUUGUCAGCAGAUGAGCGUCAGUUGAACAGUCCAGAUGACAUCAUCAAGCCAGCGGAAUCCUCCAGGAGAUGACAGGAUUCCUUUGGACACAAAAGAAAGACAUGAGAGAGAGAAAGAAAAAAAAGGAGAAAAAAAGAAAAUAAUAUGCUGCUUAAAAUACGUAUCCCUCUUCAACUAGUAUAUACUUACUUUCAAAUUUUCUGUUCUUUUUACCCAUAAUUAAAACUUUACAUUUUGAAAGAAGGGGUUUUUUUUGUUAUUUUUGACUUUUGUCGCAAGCCUUAGUUCAUUUUGAGUCUUAGCUUUCCUCACUUAGUCUUUGCAGGCUUGGGCUAUUUGCUGAUAUUCUGUCUUAGUUAGUUGCCCCUCUUUCCACCUGUUAUACUCGUCCUUUUUGUCUUUCAAUUUAUCAGAGAG
Crotalus tigris (Tiger rattlesnake) is the source of this 1048-nucleotide long non-coding RNA. RefSeq lists it as uncharacterized. The record is from RefSeq and is a predicted model, not a curated record. The transcript has 3 exons. Lineage: Eukaryota; Metazoa; Chordata; Lepidosauria; Squamata; Viperidae.